UGGGGAAUAUUGCACAAUGGGGGAAACCCUGAUGCAGCCAUGCCGCGUGUGUGAAGAAGGCCUUCGGGUUGUAAAGCACUUUCAGCGAGGAGGAAAGGUUGGUAGCUAAUAACUGCCAACUGUGACGUUACUCGCAGAAGAAGCACCGGCUAACUCCGUGCCAGCAGCCGCGGUAAUACGGAGGGUGCAAGCGUUAAUCGGAAUUACUGGGCGUAAAGCGCACGCAGGCGGUUGGAUAAGUUAGAUGUGAAAGCCCCGGGCUCAACCUGGGAAUUGCAUUUAAAACUGUCCAGCUAGAGUCUUGUAGAGGGGGGUAGAAUUCCAGGUGUAGCGGUGAAAUGCGUAGAGAUCUGGAGGAAUACCGGUGGCGAAGGCGGCCCCCUGGACAAAGACUGACGCUCAGGUGCGAAAGCGUGGGGAGCAAACA
This 427-nucleotide ribosomal RNA is filed under the name uncultured prokaryote. Its description in RNAcentral is "bacterial SSU rRNA". It matches the Rfam family "Bacterial small subunit ribosomal RNA", at positions 355 to 774 of the family's 1533-position model. The record is from RNAcentral.